CGAACGGGAUCCCCGAGCWWKCKSSGAUGAGAGUGGCGCACGGGUGAGUAACGCGUAUGCAACCURCCUUUAACWGAGGGAUAGCCCAUAGAAAUGUGGAUUAAUAYCUCAUAGUUCUUUWGAUCCGCAUGGAUUKGAAGAUAAAGCUCCGGCGGUUAAAGAUGGGCAUGCGUGACAUUAGCURGUUGGUAAGGUAACGGCUUACCAAGGCUACGAUGUCUAGGGGUUCUGAGAGGAUGAUCCCCCACACUGGUACUGAGACACGGACCAGACUCCUACGGGAGGCAGCAGUGAGGAAUAUUGGUCAAUGGGCGCAAGCCUGAACCAGCCAUCCCGCGUGCAGGAUGACGGCCCUAUGGGUUGUAAACUGCUUUUAUACACCAAGAAAAACACMUACGUGUWGGUGCCYGACGGUAGUGUAUGAAUAAGCAUCGGCUAACUCCGUGCCAGCAGCCGCGGUAAUACGGAGGAUGCAAGCGUUAUCCGGAUUCAUUGGGUUUAAAGGGUGCGUAGGCGGYYUUUUAAGUCAGUGGUGAAAUCUUGCCGCUUAACGGUAAAAUUGCCAUUGAUACUGAAARRCUUGAGUACRGUUGAGGUAAGCGGAAUGUGUAGUGUAGCGGUGAAAUGCUUAGAUAUUACACAGAACACCAAUUGCGAAGGCAGCUUACUAAACUGKYACUGACGCUGAUGCACGAAAGCGUGGGGAGCGAACAGGAUUAGAUACCCUGGUAGUCCACGCCGUAAAC
Molecule: ribosomal RNA, 746 nt
Filed under: uncultured bacterium
Lineage: Bacteria
Description: partial 16S ribosomal RNA
Rfam family: Bacterial small subunit ribosomal RNA
Source: RNAcentral